Molecule: long non-coding RNA, 207 nt
Filed under: Gossypium raimondii (Peruvian cotton)
Lineage: Eukaryota; Viridiplantae; Streptophyta; Magnoliopsida; Malvales; Malvaceae
Description: long non-coding RNA (GRAI_LNC005610)
Source: RNAcentral
AACGAGCAGUCUUUUCGAUCUUACUAUAAAAAACUAAUGGUUCCAACGGUUGCCUUUAGUAAAAAACCAAGUGAACCUCUAGGAAUCAAACAAAAGAAAAAUUAAAAUGUAAAAAUUAAAUUAAAAACAUAAAAUUAAAAUAAAAAUAAAAAUGCUAAACUAAUAGAAAUAAAGUUUUCCUAAUAUUCUAGUCCCAGCAACGACACC